GUCAAGUCAUCAUGGCCCUUACGUCCAGGGCUACACACGUGCUACAAUGGGGUAUACAAAGAGCAGCAAUACGGUGACGUGGAGCAAAUCUCAAAAAUGCCUCCCAGUUCGGAUUGUAGUCUGCAACUCGACUACAUGAAGUUGGAAUCGCUAGUAAUCGUAGAUCAGCUAUGCUACGGUGAAUACGUUCCCGGGUCUUGUACUCACCGCCCGUCACACCAUGGGAGUUGAACUCAUUCGAAGCGGGGAUGCUAAAGUAGCUACCUUCCACAGUGGAUUCAGCGACUGGGGUGAAGUCGUAACAAGGUAACCGUAGGAGAACCUGCGGUUGGAUCACCUCCUUU
This 344-nucleotide ribosomal RNA is filed under the name Aliarcobacter butzleri. Its description in RNAcentral is "bacterial SSU rRNA". It matches the Rfam family "Bacterial small subunit ribosomal RNA", at positions 1184 to 1533 of the family's 1533-position model. Lineage: Bacteria; Pseudomonadati; Campylobacterota; Epsilonproteobacteria; Campylobacterales; Arcobacteraceae. The record is from RNAcentral.